UUACAUCGAUGGUUUUGUACCUGCUUACAUAUGCUUAUAAAAUCCACUUUAAUUUUACUUCUCUUACUUGAAAAACUUGAAAGUCUCCAUUAUGGUACCUCUGCUAUCAAUUAUCUCUAAAUCAUUACUUCUGCUUCAAUCAGCUACCCUUUAUGAUUCACACUAUAUGGCUCAUUUAUCCAUGUUGAAGUCUGAAACUUGCUUCCUUGGAAACUUUUCUUAUCUCUGGAUGUUGUUUGAUGGUCUCAGAUGCAUGCUUAAUCACAUGUGUACUAAACACUGUCAAAUUCUCAAUGUGAUGCUAGGGCAGAGGUUCUCAAACUUGACUACAUAUUAGAAUCAGUUGGGAAUGAACACAAUCUCUGUGGCUGAGCCACAGCCUAAGAGAUUUUAACUUAACUAGCCUGGGCUGAAGCCCAGGUAUAGGUGAUUUUAACUCCCUGCUUUCCCCACCCCCUACCAGAUGAUUCUAAUGCGCAAUCAGGGAGGAGAACUUCCAGGCUGGACCAUACCAGACAAAGAUAGUGUGAGAGAAGGUAGAGCUGUAGUCAUAAGAAACACGGCUGUAGGAGAAGAGCUUCCUCACAGAGUUGGCCUCCACAAGAUAAAGAAAGUCAAUGAUGCACAUCUUACUCCUAGAGAGAGAGACCACCAAGACUGGAAAGAUACUGUGAAGGAUACUGCAAGAGAAUACUUCCCAGAACAAAGGGAAAGGAUACAGGUAAAUCCAUUGCCCAUUUCAGUAGCCUCUCACUCAAUCAUAGAAUACUGGCGAUUAUGUUUUUGUGUUAGAGGUGGAAAAAUUUAGGAAGAGAAAUAGAGAAUUUUGGCUUAUAAUAGAAUUGUGAAAUAUUUUUUAGUUGUACUAUUACUGGCACUGAGCAGAUUCCCAGACAUGCAAAACAUAUUGUAACUAAUAAAAUAUAAAAUUCUGUCUUUACAACAUUCUCUUUAUUGCAUCAGGAUCACAAAAGCACUGUGAUCACUGAGAGAAUGGGUCCUAAUAGCCAAAACAACUAACUUGUCAAAGGCUAUAACAGUAUUAAUUAGAGGAGCUUCCAGAGAUAUUAUCAGUUGUAUUUUAAAUAAAAGGGAAAUGAAGCACACAGGAAUUAAAUAACUUGCCAUGAUACAGAAAAAUGAAGGUGUGAUGUCACCGAGAUAUGUCUAAUUGGA
This 1176-nucleotide long non-coding RNA is filed under the name Equus caballus (horse). RNAcentral's name for it is "lncRNA (ENSECAG00000037600.3)". Lineage: Eukaryota; Metazoa; Chordata; Mammalia; Perissodactyla; Equidae. The record is from RNAcentral.